AUCUGUGUUUCCUUGUCUCUCCCCCCUCUUCCCAAAAUUUAAAAAAUCAUAAUAACAUGCUCAGGUUUACUCCACUUUUCUAUCUUCCCUUGAUUGCCCAAUGUUCCCUGUCUCUGGAGAAAACAUAAAUCACAGCCACUGAAGAGGGCAACAACACAAAGGGAAGGAAGUAAAGAAAUCAACCUGCCUCCUUCUCCUACUCCCAGAUUUCCAACACAAGUGAUAACAGAGCUGUGAGAGGAGAUGGCUAAGUCAGCUUUGCUUCCUGAAAAAUGUACGGGAUUACAGCAGAAUUUCUGCAGGAUGUUAACAGUUUCCAGGCUGCAGAACAAGAAGAAGAGGAUCCAAAUGUAGCCUGCCAGUCUUGAUAAGUUGAGAAGAGAGAGACGGGCAUUUAAAGAAACAAGAAGGCUACUCUUCGAAGGUUGUUAAAUGGAAG
Long non-coding RNA from Suricata suricatta (meerkat), 439 nucleotides. RefSeq lists it as uncharacterized. The record is from RefSeq and is a predicted model, not a curated record. The transcript is spliced from 4 exons. Lineage: Eukaryota; Metazoa; Chordata; Mammalia; Carnivora; Herpestidae.